ACAAAUAAUAAAAGACAAACAAACAAACAAACAAACAAACAAAAAACCAAACAGGAAAGAACACUUUCUGAUUAUGUCCAUUCAAAGACUUCCUUUAAAUACAUGACUGUGUAGAUAAGAUAUUACUAGUUCUCCUCCAAAACACAGGAUCACAGAAUCAAAGGGUUUGAUAGGGUGAUCUGGAAAACAUCUGGUCCAAUCCCAGUCCAACCUUUAAACCAGUUUCCAUACACUGGGUUGCCAAGGAAAGUGUCCAGGCCAUUUUUCAAAAUCUCUGGAGAAGGAACCUAAAAGCCUCUCUUGGUAGCUUGUUCCAGGGCUCUGUCAACCUCAAAGAAGGGAAGUUCUUUCUCAUGUUCACAUGGGACUUUCUGUUUUACAGUUUGUGCACGUAGCCACUUGUUCCGUUGCUGGACACUACCAAAGACAGCUUGUCCCUAUUGUCUUGACUCCCAUCCCCUCUAAGCCUUCUCCAUGCUGAACAGUCCAGGACACUCAGACCAAGCAUCUUUGUGGGCCUCUCUCUUGCACUCUGUCUAGAAAUUUGCUGUUGUUCUUGAACUGAGCAGCCAAGAAAUGGACACAGUAGUCCACUUGACCUCACCAGGGCAGAGUAGAAUAAGAGCAUAACUUCCCUCAACUUUCUGGCCACACUUCUUUUAUGGUACCCCAAGGAUAUCAUUGACAUUUUUGGCCACAGGGGCACACUGCUGGCUCAUGGUGAACCUGCUGUCCCCUAGAACAUCCACAUCCCUUUUCUCCGAGCUCCUCUCUAGCCUCUAACCUGUAACGAUGCAUACAGUUAUUUCUUCCCAGAUGCAGGACUCACCCUGGUUGAACCUCAUAAGAUUCCUCACAACCCAGCUCUGCAGUCUGUCUGUGUCUCACUAAAUGGCAGCACAGACUUUCAGCAUAUAAGCCACUACUCCCAGCUUCAUAUCAGCAGCAAGCAAGCCCAGACUUAGCACUGAUACUUAGAGAACACUGCUAGCUACAGGCCUUCAACUAGUCUGUGGGCCACACAGCACUUUGAUCUCUUCCUGUCAGCUAAUUCACAAUUCACGUCACUAUCCACUCAUCUAUCCCACACAUCUCAAGCUUAUCUGUGAGGACAUUAUGGGAGACAGCAUCAAAAGCCUUGCAGAAGUCAAGGUCCAAAGCAUCCAAUGUUCUCUCCUCAUCUACCCAGCCAGUUAUGACAUCAUAGAAGGCUACAAGGUUGGUCAAGCAUGAUUUCCCCUUGGUGAAUCCACAGUGACUAUUCCCAAACAUCUUCUCUUCCACUCACCUGGGGAAGACAUUGAGAAUUUCAUAUUAUAGAUAAGAGCAUUUUAUAAAUUCAGCAUAGAUUCAUAGACUGCUCUGGGUUGGAAGGCAGCCCCAAGGCUCAUCAAGUCCAGCUUCCCACAAGUCCAAAAAGUCAAACCCCACACCUGAAAGUAGUGUCCAAACACUUCACGAAGACCAGCAGUUUGAUGACAUGACCACUGUCCUGGAGAGCCUGCUUCUGACCCUCUCCUGGUCCAGUGCCAUGACUCUUCCUCAGGUUCUGUCACUCUCACCAGAGAAAUCAGCACCAGCCUCACUGCUCCCCUUGUAAAGAAGCUCUAGGACACCUCUCCUCAGCCUCAUCUUCUCUGGGCUGAUCUAAUACAAUGACCUCUAUCUAUUUUCAUA
This is a non-coding RNA of Coturnix japonica (Japanese quail), 1677 nucleotides long. NCBI's taxonomy places the organism in Eukaryota, Metazoa, Chordata, Aves, Galliformes, Phasianidae. The record is from RefSeq and is a predicted model, not a curated record.